RNAcentral lists this unclassified non-coding RNA (213 nucleotides) under plant metagenome. Its description in RNAcentral is "partial contains small subunit ribosomal RNA, internal transcribed spacer 1, and 5.8S ribosomal RNA". The record is from RNAcentral.
UUUCCGUAGGUGAACCUGCGGAAGGAUCAUUCAUAAUAAGUGUUUUAUGGCACUUUUUUAAAUCCAUAUCCACCUUGUGUGCAAUGUCAGGGUUGAUUUUUCUCUCGAGAGGAUCAACCCCAAACAUCAACUAUAUCUCAACUCUUUGUCUGAAAAAUAUUAUGAAUAAAACAAUUCAGAAUACAACUUUCAACAACGGAUCUCUUGGCUCUC